Molecule: long non-coding RNA, 2914 nt
Organism: Bubalus bubalis (water buffalo)
Lineage: Eukaryota; Metazoa; Chordata; Mammalia; Artiodactyla; Bovidae
Exons: 2
Source: RefSeq, a predicted model, not a curated record
AUGGCACCCCACUCCAGUACUCUUGCCUGGAAAAUCCCAUGGACGGAGGAGCCUGGUAGGCUACAGUCCAUGGGGUCGCAAAGAGUCGGACAUGGCUGAGUGACUAAACUAAACUAUCUCAUAUAGUUCAGCGUUAGUCCAGGAAUACAAGAAGUUAAAGGUUUAGCCUCUGGAUACCAAGAAUGUUUAAUUUUAAAGGAUCAGACAAGUUCAGAGGAAAAGGAAGUGGAAGAAUUUCAGAGAAAAAAGGAAGUUGCUAGGAGAAUUAGAAUGGGGGAAGACAGGGUGUAGAGGAUACGUAGGCAGAAUAGAGAGGACAGAGGAAGAUGGCACAGGAGGCAGAGUCUGACCAGGAGGAGCCACAGUAGAGAUACAAAUGGUGCUGGAGGCAGAGCCUGAGACCAAGAAGCCAAAGAGAAAGAGCCUGAGGAUUCAAGAACUAUUUUAUGUUCCUUUAAUCACUUGUUUGCCUCAGUUAAUCUUAAAACGUGAUAACAUUUGGAAACCCCAACAUUUGGGAAAAUCAAAAUAGGCAUUCCUUUCAGCUCUUGAAAUUUUAAAGCUAUUGUAAUCUAGUUAAACUUUAAGAAAAAACAUUUGGGAUUUCAAAAGUUCCCUAUGAUGGCAUAGAUAUUCUAAACUGUCUUUGGUCAGGUUGGUCCAUUUAGCUUGAAAUACACAUGAAGACGGACUUUUAACAUAAAAUCAGUCAGAGUCCCUAUAGGGGAAAACACAUAGAAAAUAUUUAGAUAAGUGGAUCCUAUUUCUCAGAGGUUUUUCUCUAGAAAAAAAAAAGCAAUUUUCAAACAAUUCAAAGGGCUUAUAGCUCAAACAGCUUAAUUCAAACAGCUUGCAAUUCAGCCUGCAAGAUAAUUCCAGCCAGUUUUAGGGAAGCAGUUUGGUCCUGGAGGGGUGGAGCCAAAGACUUUUCAGCCAGUUUCCAGAGAACAGCCCCUAAUCCAGGCCAAUGUCUGGCAAACAGGCACAGCUUUAGUGAAGCAGCCCGUGUUACUGAAGAAAUGGGCCCGUGGCUUUUUGGUCAGCUUCAGUUGAAACUGUCUAAUCUCAAAUCAGAACACAGUACCAAAUGAGUACUUGUAUAGUGAAUAAAGCCUUAACCAGAAAGGUUAAACCUUAACAUAAAUCCCCAAUGCAAAGAGAGCUUUAAGUGCAAAGAGGACAUGAGCUUACAUGCAGGAGAAAGAAAUAACCUUUAAACUCCAGGGUUAGUGAGAAAAGCUGUGAGCAUAUGGGCUCAAGUGUGGUUAUGGCACCUGUUUACUCAGUAUCCCCACAGCCUUCAGGGAGUCUUCUCUAGUUCUUAUAUGGGUCACCAAAAUGUGGAUCUAAAAUAAAUUGACUGCCAGAUGUUUCUCCAGCAAAGAUGGGCUUAUUCACGGUAAGCUGAGAAUUGCAAUUCGAGAUCUGCAACCAUGGCAAGCCAUGUGCAUGUCCCCACACAGCAACAGAAGGAGAAUGCUUUCACAGAGGGAAGAAAGAAGCUGCGAGUGCUACAGCAAACAGAGUCCAUGGCUUUUCAUUGUACAAGUCCUUGACAGGAGUGAGAACUGUUUACCUUGUUGAACUGUUACCAUCUUAAGACAUAAGAGUGUCCCCUUCUGGUCUGUUUAAUUGAGGUUUCUAUUUAUUAUUUUUUAAGAUAAGUAAUGAUUUUUAGUAUUUGAAAGACUUUCUAGAAAAUAGUGCUUACAAAAUGAUUUCAUACCUUUUAUUUUCUUGAUAUGGUUGGAUCAGAUAAGUGAAAAUAGAUAUGUAUAGACAAAUAACUUGUUUUAAUCAAAGAAUUGACUCUCUUCUCUUAUGUUUAGAGGGAGGUGAUAGAAAUGUGGAAUUCAUGAUGGUGUGGCUAGAAGGUAGCUGGUAGAUAAAACCAAUUAUUAUUGACUGAUGGACUGAUAUUGAUUUGGAUGCAGAUAUUUGAUUACUUACCAUAUUAUUUUGUCCUUGAUAUCACCCUCCAUACUGUUUCUACUUAUAUGUAAAUAUAAUAAAAAAUGGAUGUUAACAUAUUUGGUAGAUGUCGUAAGUCUAGGAUAGAUAGCAAAAGACUUGGAUCACAAAGUAAACCCUAAAGUAGAAAUUUCUUUUACUGUAAUGAUGAGUCAUGGUCAAAAUUAUAAAUUUAGUCAUAGGUUAUUAAAAUCUCAAUUAUACAUCAUAAAAUCAGCUUUUGUGGUAUGGUAGCAGCUAUUUGUCAAUGUCUAGAGAUUUAUAAGAACUAUAAAAUGGACAUUGGUCCUUAGUAGUAAAUAUGGGGAGAGAGAAGGGCUUCAGAAUGUAUUUUAUAGAUAAAAGAACAUAGAAAGGAUGAUAAAAAAUGACUUCUGACAUUUUUUAAGAAAUUAAUGAACAAAGAGUAAGUCCUAUUGUAGGAAAGUGUUUCAGAUUAGGUGCUGGUAAUCAGGAUUUGUGGUGAGAGAGCCAGAUUUAGAGCAGCUCUCAAUAUUACUUAUGGAGCUUGAGGUGAUUGGUGAUUUUUAUUCUUACUUCUUUUAAAAAUCUGAUAUCAUCUACUCUACCAAGUGCCAAUGCUGAAAAAUGGAGACACUACAUCCCCAAAUGGUGAGGCUGAGGGAGUUUGUUUUAGAAGAGAAUGAAAUGCCUGGAGGCUAUAGAAAUACUGAACUUAAGCAACUGGCAGUACUGAUGGCAGAGCAAUAAAGCUUCUCCUGAUUUGCCUCAGAGACCAAAGAGGGAAUUCAAUUUGGAAAUUGCAAGGAUUUGGCACCAAAAGUGGGAGAGCAAAUUGACAAAUGGAAAGUUUGGUUAAAAUAUACUGUCUUGUAAACUCAUCUGCACAGUGAAAAAUUGCCAUCUGUAUGUCCAUUGGGUGGAUGCAAGUUGGUACUGUAGUUGAUUGUGUUUCCUUGACAAUAAAAAAGUCCUCAAAUGA